This 5621-nucleotide long non-coding RNA is filed under the name Sus scrofa (pig). Its description in RNAcentral is "lncRNA (ENSSSCG00000061526.1)". Lineage: Eukaryota; Metazoa; Chordata; Mammalia; Artiodactyla; Suidae. The record is from RNAcentral.
UAGGGCCUCACUUGUGGCAUGUGGAAGUUCCUAGGCUAGAGGUCAAAUUGGAGCUGCAGCUGCCAGCCCACACCAUGGCCUCAGCAAUGCUAGGUCUGAGCUGCGUCUUCAACCUACACCACAGCUCAUGGCAACACCAGAUCCUUAACCCACCUAACGAGGUCAGGGAUGGAACCCACAUCCUCAUGGAUACUAGUGGGGUGAAUUACCAGUGAGUCACAAUGGGAACUUCCUGCUACAUUUUUCUACUGGAAGGAGGGGAGCUGAAUGAAGUGGGGGCUCCACGCUGUGCAGGGGACCCUGGUCAUUCUAUUCUUGGGGACACUCUGGCUUUGCCAAGUCAUACAAUUCAUCCUCUUAUUUUAAUAAUAAGGACUUCCUUAAUUUUUGUUUUUGUUUUUUGUCUUUUUAUGGCCGAACUCACGGCAUAUGGAGGUUCCCAGGCCAGGAUUUGAAUUGGAGCUGUGCAGCUACCAGCCUACACCACAGCCAUAGCUAUGUCAGAUCCUUAACCCACUGAGCGAGGCCAGGGAUCAAACCCACAUCUUCCUGGAUACUAGUCGGGUUCUUAACCCACCAAGCCUCAAUGGAAACUCCUGCAAAUGCUAUUUCUGUUGAGCUUUCCCCUCAGCAUUUGAAUUCCACUAAAAUUUUAAAGAAGAAUUCUAUUCUUCAACUCAAGGCAUUUUGUUUCCAAAAUGAGAGGGGAGAAAAAAAUGUCAGAGAAUCGAGACAUAGAUGCUUCCUCCCAUCAGAAAGAAAGGAGAAGUCCUGUGGAGAAAACAACUGCUUUCCUCAGAGCCUACUGUUCUUCUCCCUCAGCCUCUCUCUCCUUCAGCCUCUGGCACCAUCUCGUGUCUCCCAUCCAAAUCCUGCUUUAGGGGUGUCUGAUCAGGCCACUCAAGGUGGCUAUCCUCUUGAUCUCUGUACACCCCCUGCCCGACCAGUGCCGGCUUCCCUCACAUGACUAUCCAACCUCUUAAUUAUGGGGCUUACUUGGCCUCUGAUAACUUAUGAGCCCCCCUGAGGUCAACUCCCCCUAUAAAUGGUAGCCUCCUUCUCCCCAAGGAGCUAAGACUGCUCCCAUGCCCACGUCUGCUACACACAGAGGGUAUUGCUCCAGGGCCCUUUGUGUAAGAUUCUCAUGUGUAGUCGUCCAUGGAUGUCUCUGUCUCUGUCUCCAGACUCUUUCUUUGGUUUCGAGGCUGGGCAACUACAAUGCUUGCAGGCCUUCGGGGUGCAGCCCAACAAGAGGUGACCACAGGAUGCUAGUAUGCUGCUCAGAGAGCUUUCAGCUGUAUAAGGAAUUCAGGAUGUUGACUUGUCACUCAGCCACAUACACUUCUCCCCUUUUUCUUCACUUCUAGCCUAAAGGCAAGCUGAACCCCAGGACUUUCCAACAGGAUCUUAGCUCUAAGAGGCAGAAGAAUGUGAUGUCAGGAUUUUCCAGCAGCCUUUGCACCGGGUUUUCACUUCUAGCCAUGCUCUGAUACCCUCUUCUAUUUUCAUUUCUAAACGUCAAAAUGUAUUAGAUAUUUUCUCUUCAUUGGCUCUAUUUUGAUUUUGAAAAGUACACACAUACGUGAUAGCAGUUUUUUCUUAUUCCUAUCAUCCGCAGUUCAGAUUUUAAGAGAAGAUGGUCACAACUAAUCACCAAUAAGUAGACACAGGUAUGUUCAUUUGGGACUAGCUUCACCCACCCCUCAAACUCCCACUCACCCAGGUUUCUGUGGAAGGUCUGGAAUCAGUGACAAUGAUGCUUACACUCUGGUUGGGGGUUGGGGAAGCUAUAUGCUGGGCUUGGAUCUUAGUGAUUUCUACGGCAACUCCAAGAUGGAUGGUACCUUCUAUUUUUGGAUUCACACUGGGAAGCCAAUUAAAUUAAAAGGCUAUUCAUUUCACUAUAUUUGUCUCCAGGCUGCUCAAACAGAAAUGCAAACGACUUGUAUUGAAUGAGUUUUCUGCCUCAAAGAGAAUGAGAUUGUAACACCAAACCGUGUGUAUUUCAGAGUCCCAUCUGCAUGAAAAGGGGGAAACACACACCCCAACACUUGAUGCUACUUGAAAGCUUCUCCUGUGACUGCAAAUUGCUAUUACCCUAAAUGAAGGCAUAUGGAGCUUCUAUGGUCACUCACAGGCCCUUAGGGCAGUUGUCAAGAAUGAGUCUGUUUACUGAAAUGGACACAGAAAGGAAGAGGAAAUUCUUUUUUUCUUUCCAGCUUCACUCAAAAGCAUGGAGAAACAACAGAGCACAAAUACUACAAAUACUGCUUCUUUGAUGUUGCCUCCAUUCACAAGAGAAGGUAGCCUCAGAUUGAAGAGAGCUGCCAGUAACCCCAGGGCUCCCAGCUCAGCUCCCAGUUUCAAUUCCUACAAAAUGGAAACAGUAAGUUCUCCCAAUAGUUCAAACCAAAGGUCCAAAAAUGAGUUGUGCUGGCCUGACUGACCUGACUUACAAUGUGUAGCUGAUGAUGAUUGAAUCAGGGGCUAUACAGAACAGCUGACUUAGGCCCAUCGGAGCCCACAGUGAAGUUGUGGGCGAGGAUGAACUGGACUGGGUCACUAAGGGUUCCUGAGAUAGGAUCUGGGGAGUGGUCACUGGUGAGUUGAUCCACCAGAUCACUACAUGUCUACAUGGCUGGAAAGGACCUUUCAAAAACAGGUGGCUUAUCAAAGAAGAAAACUGGAAGCAACUGGAAUUUGCAAUUUUUUCCUUAAAACACAUGUGGCACGUGGACAUAGGAUUGUCCUCCAGUAGUCCUUGAACAAAAGUAAUUUCAAUAUUGAAUAGAUGAGCUCCCCCCCCCCAAAAAAAUAGGACUUUCCAACUAGCCUAUAGUCUCUAAAAUAACAGCCUACAACCUGCCAUUUGUAGAUCAUUUCAAGGCCUGGCCAGCCCAAAUUGAAACUUGCCCAUCACCAAUGGCAGAUGAAAUGUUAGGUUGCCCGUAAUGGCAGAGCUACCAGGGCCUCCGUGAUGGAGCAGAUGUGGGUUAUGAAGGUUGUCAUGACCUUCAUUAUGGCUUAUAGAGACCUGCCUGGCAGGAUGUAAUAAGCAGAAUGAAAUGAGACAACAAAAAUGUCACAAUGUUUAUGAAAGUACAAAAUGAUUCCCCAAGAAAGAAGUCAUUUAGAGAAAACUGAAAAACACUUGACUUCAUCUUCACUUUUAUGAAAAAAAAAAAAAUCCCCAUCUGAGGGCAAUUCACCUUUGAAAUUCACAUCCAUUUAAAAUGAUUAGAAGGAAGGAAGGGAGGAAAGGGGCAAAAGGAAAGGAGAGAGGGAGGGAGAGAGCAAAGGCUGGUACAGAGCCUAGAGCAUGAAGAAUUUUUGACCACCUUAGUAACUUACCUCUCAAGUCUCAAGAUCACUCUUUUUUCUCAUAAAAUAGAGCAAAUGCAAACCUGAGGCCUGAUUUUUUACCAGGUAAGAUCUCCUCUGAAAUGUCUGUUGUCUUUUGGCAAGUACCCCAAAUAGUAAAUUGGAUCAAAAUGAAUGGGCAGUGUUUGAUGCUAUUAUAUUCCUAACAUCCCCUAAAAAAGAAAAGCUAUCCAAAAAUGCAAGCAAAUAUGUAUCAGAAUGUUCACAACAGGUCUACUCAUAAUAGCCCCCAAACUGGAAACAACCCAAAUCUUCAUCAGGAAUAGAAUGGAUAAAUAAAUCAUGGCAUAUCCAUACAAUGAAAUACUAGCAAGGAGAAUAAACAAACUACUGCCACAUGUAACAGUAUGAGAAAACCUCACAAGGAUAAUGUUUAACAAAAGAAACCAGAUGGAAUGGAAUAUUUAUUAUAAUAUUCCAAUUAUACUAAAGUUCAAAAAACAGACAACUAAUUUAUGGUGAUUAAAGCCAGAUUAGUAGUUACCACUGGGGAAAGAGAACAUGUGGGCACCCCUAGAGUGUUUGUCAAGUUCCAUUUCUUGAUUUGAAUGACAGAUACACUUUGUGAAAAUUCAUCAAGUGACAUAAGUAUGGCUGGUGCUUUUUUCUGCAUGUGUAUUUUACUUCAAUAAAAAGUUUACUUUGAAGCUCAUAUCAUAUGAGCAAACUUUAGGGGAUGAUGGAAAUAUGCAAUAGUUCAACUAUGGUGGUGAUUACAAGACUAUACAUACUAUACAUUCAUUAAAACUAACCAAACUGUGCAGUUAAAAUUAGUGCAUUUAUUACAUGUAAACUAUAGUUAGUAAAAUUGAUUUUUUUUAACUUUAAAGAUUUUAUGAAUGAGAAUUCCACUCAUUAUACACCAAAGUAGUUCGAGAAUGAUUCAGAAAAGCAACUGUGUGCAUUUAUUUCUGAGUUUUAUUUUGUAGGAGAAACAAAGAACCCAAUGGUUCAAAUACUUAAAUCUGUAAAAAUUAUUAUACGUCCUUAAAGGCAGAGAACCUAUCUAUAUGUGAAUCUUAAUGUCAGCCAAUUGGAAAACUGAGGCUACAGACUCUCUGUGCAAUUCUAAUUCAUAAUCCUAUGAAUUUCUCCCAGGGUCAUUAACAUGCAUGUAUCAGCACAUUAUUGUGGCUGUGCAUGAUAAUGCUGUCAAACAAAUAAGCCCCAAAACUCUUUGAUUGCUUACACAUUUGGAUCAGCUCUGUUGAUUGUCCAGAGCUUGCUCCCAUAUCUGGGGUAAGGAGAGCUACUGCCUAAUAUAAGUUGGCCUCAACUGGAAUAAUUAGAACAGCUCGGUGUGGUUGUGAUCCACCAAGACAGUCCUCAGUUGAUGCUUGCCUCCUGAAAACCUCAUUCUGGUGCAGUUCCUUCCCAUAUAAUGUAAAGCUGUCCUGUGUAACUAAUAGGAUAUUCAAAAGCCAACACAGUCACUCCAAAGCCUGGUCACAAAAGACACUCUAGCUUCUGUCUUGCUCAUUUGGACCACUCAGCUAAGUGAAGCCAGUUACCAUGUCCUAAGGAUACAUAAUCAGCCCUAUGGAGAGAUUCACAGGAUGAGAAACCAAAAUCUCAACAUCCAGCACCAACUUGCCAGACACAUGCAAGAGCCAUUUUGGAAGUAGGCUGUCUAGCCCCAGCCAAGCCUUCAGAUGACCAUAACCCUGAGCCAGAACCCUGAAUCAGGACCAACCAGCUAAGCCACUCAUGAAUUUCUAAAGCAUAGAAACUCUGAAAGAUAAUGCCUAUUGUUUUAUGCUAUCUUUGGGGACAAUUUGUUAUGCAGUCAUAGAUAACCAACAUACUUGACUCUGUACCACGUAGCUCUCAUUAUUCAAUAGGCUACCUUACGUACAUUCUCAUGGUGACAGCAGAGAUGCAAGACAGCAAGUGAGGGAAUACAUGCAAGCACUUCUCAAAUCUCUACUUAUAUCCUGUCUCCAAAGAUCCUUUUGUCCAAAUUAAGUCAAAUGACUUAGCUUAGUGUGGUGGGGUUGGGCAGGUUAGCUCACCAACUGUGAGAAGGCAUUGCAAAGUUAUAUGACAAAGAACAUGGUUGGUGGUUUUAAAAAAGUCUUUGACACUGCCCCAUAUUAAAGGGGGAGACUAUUUCCCCUCCUCUCAAAUGUGGACUAGUCUUAGUGACUCAUUUCUAAUGAGAAGAGUGUGGUGGAAGUGAAGAUUCCCAGGCUAGUGCCAACAACCAGCACCAACUUGCCACCACGAUGGAAGUGGAUCUU